This 69-nucleotide transfer RNA is filed under the name Desmognathus quadramaculatus (black-bellied salamander). Its description in RNAcentral is "tRNA-Tyr". It matches the Rfam family "tRNA". Rfam says of the family: Transfer RNA (tRNA) molecules are approximately 80 nucleotides in length. Their secondary structure includes four short double-helical elements and three loops (D, anti-codon, and T loops). Lineage: Eukaryota; Metazoa; Chordata; Amphibia; Caudata; Plethodontidae. The record is from RNAcentral.
AGGUAAAGUGGCCGAACAGGUAUUGAGUUGUAGCCUCAAUAAUAAAGGUUAAAAUCCUUUCUAUACCAG